This 201-nucleotide ribosomal RNA is filed under the name uncultured microorganism. RNAcentral describes it as "partial 16S ribosomal RNA". It matches the Rfam family "Bacterial small subunit ribosomal RNA", at positions 9 to 203 of the family's 1533-position model. The record is from RNAcentral.
GAGUUUGAUCAUGGCUCAGGAUGAACGCUGGCGGCGUGCCUAAUACAUGCAAGUCGAGCGAACGGACGAGAAGCUUGCUUCUCUGAUGUUAGCGGCGGACCGGUGAGUAACACGUGGAUAACCUACCUAUAAGACGUGGGAUAACUUCGGGAAACCGGAGCUAAUACCGGAUAAUAUUUUGAACCGCAUGGUUCAAAAGUG